AGUGAACGCUGGCGGUAGGCCUAACACAUGCAAGUCGAACGGCAGCACAGGAGAGCUUGCUCUCUGGGUGGCGAGUGGCGGACGGGUGAGGAAUACAUCGGAAUCUACUUUUUCGUGGGGGAUAACGUAGGGAAACUUACGCUAAUACCGCAUACGACCUACGGGUGAAAGCAGGGGAUCUUCGGACCUUGCGCGAUUGAAUGAGCCGAUGUCGGAUUAGCUAGUUGGCGGGGUAAAGGCCCACCAAGGCGACGAUCCGUAGCCGGCCUGAGGGGAGGAGCAGCCACAAUGGAACUGAGACACGGUCCAGACUCCUACGGGAGGCAGCAGUGGGGAAUAUUGGACAAUGGGCGCAAGCCUGAUCCAGCCAUACCGCGUGGGUGAAGAAGGCCUUCGGGUUGUAAAGCCCUUUUGUUGGGAAAGAAAUCCAGCUGGCUAAUACCCGGUUGGGAUGACGGUACCCAAAGAAUAAGCACCGGCUAACUUCGUGCCAGCAGCCGCCGUAA
This 506-nucleotide ribosomal RNA is filed under the name uncultured bacterium. RNAcentral's name for it is "partial 16S ribosomal RNA". It matches the Rfam family "Bacterial small subunit ribosomal RNA", at positions 29 to 523 of the family's 1533-position model. The record is from RNAcentral.